GACGAACGCUGGCGGCGUGCCUAAUACAUGCAAGUAGAACGCUGAAGAGAGGAGCUUACUCUUCUUGGAUGAGUUGCGAACGGGUGAGUAACGCGUAGGUAACCUGCCUUGUAGCGGGGGAUAACUAUUGGAAACGAUAGCUAAUACCGCAUAACAAUGGAUGACACAUGUCAUUUAUUUGAAAGGGGCAAUUGCUCCACUACAAGAUGGACCUGCGUUGUAUUAGCUAGUAGGUGAGGUAAUGGCUCACCUAGGCGACGAUACAUAGCCGACCUGAGAGGGUGAUCGGCCACACUGGGACUGAGACACGGCCCAGACUCCUACGGGAGGCAGCAGUAGGGAAUCUUCGGCAAUGGGGGCAACCCUGACCGAGCAACGCCGCGUGAGGGAAGAAGGUUGUCGGAUCGUAAAGCUCGGUUGUAAGUCAAGAACGGGUGUGAGAGUGGAAAGUUCACACUGUGACGGUAGCUUACCAGAAAGGGACGGCUAACUACGUG
RNAcentral lists this ribosomal RNA (497 nucleotides) under uncultured bacterium. Its description in RNAcentral is "partial 16S ribosomal RNA". It matches the Rfam family "Bacterial small subunit ribosomal RNA", at positions 28 to 507 of the family's 1533-position model. The record is from RNAcentral.